RNAcentral lists this transfer RNA (77 nucleotides) under Streptomyces viridochromogenes. RNAcentral's name for it is "tRNA-Trp". It matches the Rfam family "tRNA". From Rfam's summary of the family: Transfer RNA (tRNA) molecules are approximately 80 nucleotides in length. Their secondary structure includes four short double-helical elements and three loops (D, anti-codon, and T loops). Further hydrogen bonds mediate the characteristic L-shaped molecular structure. tRNAs have two regions of fundamental functional importance: the anti-codon, which is responsible for specific mRNA codon recognition, and the 3' end, to which the tRNAs corresponding amino acid is attached (by aminoacyl-tRNA synthetases). tRNAs cope with the degeneracy of the genetic code in two manners: having more than one tRNA (with a specific anti-codon) for a particular amino acid; and 'wobble' base-pairing, i.e. permitting non-standard base-pairing at the 3rd anti-codon position. Lineage: Bacteria; Bacillati; Actinomycetota; Actinomycetes; Kitasatosporales; Streptomycetaceae. The record is from RNAcentral.
GGGGGCGUAGCUCAGCCGGCCAGAGCGCCGGUCUCCAGAACCGGAUGCCGCAGGCUCGACUCCUGUCACCCCUGCCA